Pezoporus occidentalis (night parrot) is the source of this 752-nucleotide long non-coding RNA. RefSeq lists it as uncharacterized. The transcript is spliced from 2 exons. NCBI's taxonomy places the organism in Eukaryota, Metazoa, Chordata, Aves, Psittaciformes, Psittacidae. The record is from RefSeq and is a predicted model, not a curated record.
GAGCGCUCGCUCUGAUGCGGCAGGUUUCAGCGGUGCUUUUCCCUACAGGCCACUUGCUGCAGGGAACUGUGGUGUUGGGAUGUGCGCGUUUUCUCCUGCCUGGCUUUCACCGCAUCUUCCCAACGCCGAGAAGCACAAGAAGGGGGGAUGCUUCCCAUGCCACACAGGCGGAUGCUCCAAGCUCCUGAUCCCUGUUUUCCUCCCUCAAAGGAGGUUGCUGCUUCAAACUGGAACAAAUCCAGCAACUUUUCCAAGCGGAGCAACACUUGGGGAAUAUCACCCAGGCAGCGAGGAAACUCGGCUUUUAUUGCCACCAAUUAGGCGUGUGCUGGGAUAAAAAGGCUUCCAACGCUCCCCAUCCAGAGGGAGCUGCAUCCCUUUAGGACGCGCUCCUUGAAACAGCCCCUUUGCCUUUUUUAUUUACCAUAAACACAUUUCUGUUAAUGAAACCCUCGCCCACUUUGCAACCUCCCCCUUUCCCCUCCCCAAAGCUCAUAAAGCUCCGACUUUGCAUAUCUGAGCCCUGGGCUGCUGGGCUGGGUCCUUGGGGGUCCCAGGGUCAGGCUGGGGGCAGCGGGGUCAUUGUAUCGCCAUCAUGGGUCAAUAAGCAACUGGUCAGGCUCUCAAUCCACAUCAGGCCUUGAAGAGGACUGGGAAAUGGGAGAAUCCAUUCAUAAUAAUAAUAAACUUGUCAAUCAAUAACAGGCAGGAGAAAUACUUUGUAAAAGGUAAAAAAAAAAUAAUAAAAGUAA